This 348-nucleotide ribosomal RNA is filed under the name unidentified eubacterium clone EH-6. Its description in RNAcentral is "bacterial SSU rRNA". It matches the Rfam family "Bacterial small subunit ribosomal RNA", at positions 32 to 362 of the family's 1533-position model. The record is from RNAcentral.
AACGCUGGCGGCGUGCCUAACACAUGCAAGUCGAACGAGAAAGCGGGCUUCGGCCCGUGAGUAGAGUGGCAUACGGGUGAGUAACACGUGGGCAAUCUGCCCGGAGGUGGGGGAUAACUCUCGGAAACGGGGGCUAAUACCGCAUGAUAUCUCGAGGACUCCGGUCCUUGCGAUCAAAGCUAGCCUCUUCUUGAAAGCUAGCGCCAUCGGAGGAGCUCGCGGCCCAUUAGCUUGUUGGUGAGGUAACGGCUCACCAAGGCUACGAUGGGUAGCCGGCCUGAGAGGGCGAUCGGCCACACUGGAACUGAGACACGGUCCAGACUCCUACGGGAGGCAGCAGUGAGGAAU